RNAcentral lists this transfer RNA (67 nucleotides) under Treron sieboldii (white-bellied green-pigeon). Its description in RNAcentral is "tRNA-Phe". The record is from RNAcentral. RNAcentral also lists the same sequence under 1 other name. Lineage: Eukaryota; Metazoa; Chordata; Aves; Columbiformes; Columbidae.
GUCCCUGUAGCUUACAACAAAGCAUGGCACUGAAGAUGCCAAGACGGCCCACAUCCUCCCAGGGACA